CAGCCGCCGCGGGAAUACGGAGGGUGCAAGCGUUAAUCGGAAUUACUGGGCGUAAAGCGUGCGUAGGCGGUUCGUUAAGUCUGUUGUGAAAGCCCCGGGCUCAACCUGGGAAUGGCAAUGGAUACUGGCGAGCUAGAGUGUGUCAGAGGAUGGUGGAAUUCCCGGUGUAGCGGUGAAAUGCGUAGAGAUCGGGAGGAACAUCAGUGGCGAAGGCGGCCAUCUGGGACAACACUGACGCUGAGGCACGAAAGCGUGGGGAGCAAACAGGAUUAGAUACCCCCGUAGUCCCUGUCUCUUAUAU
This 301-nucleotide ribosomal RNA is filed under the name uncultured bacterium. Its description in RNAcentral is "partial 16S ribosomal RNA". It matches the Rfam family "Bacterial small subunit ribosomal RNA", at positions 509 to 809 of the family's 1533-position model. The record is from RNAcentral.